Molecule: ribosomal RNA, 253 nt
Filed under: uncultured bacterium
Lineage: Bacteria
Description: partial 16S ribosomal RNA
Rfam family: Bacterial small subunit ribosomal RNA
Source: RNAcentral
UACGUAGGGUGCAAGCGUUGUCCGGAAUUCUUGGGCGUAAAGAGCUCGUAGGCGGUCUGUCGCGUCUGCUGUGAAAACUCGGGGCUUAACCCCGGGCCUGCAGUGGGUACGGGCAGACUAGAGUGCGGUAGGGGAGACUGGAAUUCCUGGUGUAGCGGUGAAAUGCGCAGAUAUCAGGAGGAACACCGGUGGCGAAAGCGGGUCUCUGGGCCGUAACUGACGCUGAGGAGCGAAAGCAUGGGGAGCGAACAGG